UCCUGGUUAACCCAGGCAGUCUCGUUAGAGUUCCCACCUUCACGUGUUGGCAACUAACGAUAAGGGUUGCGCUCGUUGCGGGACUUAACCCAACACCUCACGGCACGAGCUGACGACAGCCAUGCAGCACCUGUGCAGCGGCCCCGAAGGGAAUUGACAUUUCUGCCAACGUCCACUGCAUGUCAAGUCUGGGUAAGGUUCUUCGCGUUGCAUCGAAUUAAACCACAUGCUCCACUGCUUGUGCGGGUCCCCGUCAAUUCUUUUGAGUUUCACCCUUGCGAGUGUACUCCCCAGGCGGUAUACUUAUCGCGUUAGCUUCGGCACAACCAGGGUUGAUUCCGGUUACACCAAGUAUACAUCGUUUACGGCAAGGACUAC
RNAcentral lists this unclassified non-coding RNA (378 nucleotides) under uncultured Parachlamydiaceae bacterium. RNAcentral's name for it is "contains 16S-23S intergenic spacer region". The record is from RNAcentral. Lineage: Bacteria; Pseudomonadati; Chlamydiota; Chlamydiia; Parachlamydiales; Parachlamydiaceae.